This 468-nucleotide ribosomal RNA is filed under the name uncultured bacterium. RNAcentral's name for it is "partial 16S ribosomal RNA". It matches the Rfam family "Bacterial small subunit ribosomal RNA", at positions 28 to 507 of the family's 1533-position model. The record is from RNAcentral.
GACGAACGCUGGCGGCGUGCUUAACACAUGCAAGUCGAACGGAAAGGCCCUGCUUUUGUGGGGUGCUCGAGUGGCGAACGGGUGAGUAACACGUGAGUAACCUGCCCUUGACUUUGGGAUAACUUCAGGAAACUGGGGCUAAUACCGGAUAGGAGCUCCUGCUGCAUGGUGGGGGUUGGAAAGUUUCGGCGGUUGGGGAUGGACUCGCGGCUUAUCAGCUUGUUGGUGGGGUGGUGGCUUACCAAGGCUUUGACGGGUAGCCGGCCUGGGAGGGUGACCGGCCACAUUGGGACUGAGAUACGGACCAGACUCCUACGUGAGGCAGCAGUGGAGAAUAUUGCACAAUGGGCGGAAGCCUGAUGCAGCAACGCCGCGUGCGGGAUGACGGCCUUCGGGUUGUAAACCGCUUUCGCCUGUGACGAAGCGUGAGUGACGGUAAUGGGUAAAGAAGCACCGGCUAACUACGUG